GAUGAACGCUAGCGGCAGGCCUAGUACAUGCAAGUCGAACGGUAAGGCCCUUCGGGGGUACACGAGUGGCGGACGGGUGCGUAACGCGUAUGCAACAUGCCUUCCAGCGGGGGAUAUACCAGGGAAACUUGGCGCAAUACCCCAUAGAAUUACGGGACCGCAUGGUCUUGUGAUUAAAACUCCGGUGCUGGGAGAUUGGCAUGCGUGACAUUAGCUAGUUGGCGGGGUAACGGCCCACCAAGGCGACGAUGUCUAGCUGGUCUGAGAGGAUGAUCAGCCACACUGGGACUGAGACACGGCCCAGACUCCUACGGGAGGCAGCAGUGGGGAAUCUUGCGCAAUGGGGGCAACCCUGACGCAGCCAUGCCGCGUGAACGAUGAAGGCCUUAGGGUUGUAAAGUUCUUUUACCCGUGACGAUGAUGACGGUAACGGGGGAAUAAGCUCCGGCUAACUUCGUG
Molecule: ribosomal RNA, 459 nt
Filed under: uncultured bacterium
Lineage: Bacteria
Description: bacterial SSU rRNA
Rfam family: Bacterial small subunit ribosomal RNA
Source: RNAcentral